RNAcentral lists this ribosomal RNA (253 nucleotides) under uncultured bacterium. RNAcentral's name for it is "partial 16S ribosomal RNA". It matches the Rfam family "Bacterial small subunit ribosomal RNA", at positions 524 to 776 of the family's 1533-position model. The record is from RNAcentral.
UACGUAGGGUGCAAGCGUUGUCCGGAAUUAUUGGGCGUAAAGAGCUCGUAGGCGGUUUGUCGCGUCUGCUGUGAAAACGCGGGGCUCAACUCCGCGCCUGCAGUGGGUACGGGCAGACUAGAGUGCAGUAGGGGAGACUGGAAUUCCUGGUGUAGCGGUGGAAUGCGCAGAUAUCAGGAGGAACACCGGUGGCGAAGGCGGGUCUCUGGGCCACUACUGACGCUGAGAAGCGAAAGCAUGGGGAGCGAACAGG